Molecule: ribosomal RNA, 253 nt
Filed under: uncultured bacterium
Lineage: Bacteria
Description: partial 16S ribosomal RNA
Rfam family: Bacterial small subunit ribosomal RNA
Source: RNAcentral
UACGGAGGAUGCAAGCGUUAUCCGGAUUCACUGGGUUUAAAGGGUGCGUAGGCGGAAUGAUAAGUCAGUGGUGAAAUCCUACAGCUUAACUGUAGAACUGCCAUUGAUACUGUCAAUCUAGAGUUUGGUUGAAGUGGCUGGAAUGUGUCAUGUAGCGGUGAAAUGCUUAGAUAUGACACAGAACACCGAUUGCGAAGGCAGGUCACUAAGCCAAUACUGACGCUGAGGCACGAAAGCGUGGGGAGCAAACAGG